Molecule: ribosomal RNA, 459 nt
Filed under: uncultured bacterium
Lineage: Bacteria
Description: partial 16S ribosomal RNA
Rfam family: Bacterial small subunit ribosomal RNA
Source: RNAcentral
CCUACGGGUGGCAGCAGUGAGGAAUAUUGGUCAAUGGUCGGGAGCCUGAACCAGCCAAGCCGCGUGAGGGAGGAAGGUACAGAGUAUUGUAAACCUCUUUUGUCAGGGAACAAAGACUGGGACGCGUCCCCGGCUGCGUGUAUCUGAAGAAAAAGCAUCGGCUAACUCCGUGCCAGCAGCCGCGGUAAUACGGGGGAUGCGAGCGUUAUCCGGGUUUAUUGGGUUUAAAGGGUGCGGAGGCGGUCCGUUAAGUCAGCGGUAAAAGUGCGGGGCUCAACCCCGGCGAGCCGUUGAAACUGGCAGACUGGAGUUGGAGAGAAGUAGGCGGAAUGCGCGGUGUAGCGGUGAAAUGCAUAGAUAUCGCGCAGAACUCCGAUUGCGAAGGCAGCAUGCCGGCGCCAGACUGACGCUGAGGCACGAAAGCGUGGGGAUCGAACAGGAUUAGAUACCCUUGUAGUC